RNAcentral lists this ribosomal RNA (274 nucleotides) under uncultured bacterium. RNAcentral describes it as "partial 16S ribosomal RNA". It matches the Rfam family "Bacterial small subunit ribosomal RNA", at positions 523 to 796 of the family's 1533-position model. The record is from RNAcentral.
AUACGGAGGGUGCAAGCGUUACUCGGAAUCACUGGGCGUAAAGCGCGCGCAGGCGGCUAUUUAAGUUGGGUGUGAAAGCCUACGGCUCAACCGUAGAACUGCAUCCAAAACUAUUUAGCUAGAGUGUGGGAGAGGAAGAUGGAAUUAGUUGUGUAGGGGUAAAAUCCGUAGAGAUAACUAGGAAUACCAAAAGCGAAGGCAAUCUUCUGGAACACUACUGACGCUGAGGCGCGAAAGCGUGGGGAGCAAACAGGAUUAGAAACCCUAGUAGUCC